RNAcentral lists this ribosomal RNA (497 nucleotides) under uncultured bacterium. Its description in RNAcentral is "partial 16S ribosomal RNA". It matches the Rfam family "Bacterial small subunit ribosomal RNA", at positions 28 to 507 of the family's 1533-position model. The record is from RNAcentral.
GAUGAACGCUGGCGGCGUGCCUAAUACAUGCAAGUCGAGCGAACAGACGAGGAGCUUGCUCCUCUGACGUUAGCGGCGGACGUGUGAGUAACACGUGGAUAACCUACCUAUAAGACUGGGAUAACUUCGGGAAACCGGAGCUAAUACCGUAUAAUAUAUUGAACCGCAUGGUUCAAUAGUGAAAGACGGUUUUGCUGGCACGUAUCGAUGGAUCCGGGCCGCUUUAGCUAGUUGGUAAGGUAACGGCUUACCAGGGCAACGAUGCGUAGCCGACCUGAGAGGGUGGUCGGCGACACGGGAAGUGAGACACGGACCAGACUCCUGCGGGAGGCAGCAGUAGCGAACCUUCCGCAAUGGGCGAGAGCCUGACGGAGCAGCGCCGCGUGAGUGAUGAAGGUGUUCGGAUCGUAAAACUCUGUUAUUAGGGAAGAACAAAUGUGUAAGUAACUAUGCACGUCUUGACGGUACCUAAUCAGAAAGCCACGGCUAACUACGUG